UAGCAAUACCGAAGGAAGUCUAGCGGCGAACGGGUGCUUAACACGUGGGCAACCUGUUAAGAAGUGGGGGAUAGCUCGCCGAGAGGCGAAUUAAUACCGCAUGUGAUUAGAGAGGACAUCCUUUCGAAAUUAAAGUCGGGGCAACCUGACGCUUUUUGUGGGGCCCGCGGCCUAUCAGCUAGUUGGUGAGGUAACGGCCCACCAAGGCUUUGACGGGUAGCUGGUCUGAGAGGACGACCAGCCACACUGGGACUGAGACACGGCCCAGACACCUACGGGUGGCAGCAGUCGAGAAUUUUUGACAAUGGGGGAAACCCUGAUCGAGCGACGCCGCGUGGAGGAUGAAGGUCUUCGGAUUGUAAACUCCUGUCAUUGGGGAACAAGUCGCUUACGUUAACUGCGUGAGCGUUGAUAGUACUCGAAGAGGAAGAGACGGCUAACUCUGUGCCAGCAGCCGCGGUAAUACAGAGGUCUCAAGCGUUGUUCGGAUUCAUUGGGCGUAAAGGGUGCGUAGGCGGCGCGGUAAGUCGGGUGUGAAAUCUUGGAGCUUAACUCCGAAAACUGCAUUCGAUACUGCCGUGCUUGAGGACUGGAGAGGAGACUGGAAUUUCUCGGUGUAGCA
This 622-nucleotide ribosomal RNA is filed under the name uncultured Verrucomicrobiota bacterium. RNAcentral's name for it is "bacterial SSU rRNA". It matches the Rfam family "Bacterial small subunit ribosomal RNA", at positions 77 to 680 of the family's 1533-position model. The record is from RNAcentral. Lineage: Bacteria; Pseudomonadati; Verrucomicrobiota.